Molecule: ribosomal RNA, 1313 nt
Filed under: metagenome
Description: bacterial SSU rRNA
Rfam family: Bacterial small subunit ribosomal RNA
Source: RNAcentral
AGAGUUUGAUCCUGGCUCAGAACGAACGCUGGCGGCGCGUUUAAGGCAUGCAAGUCGAACGAGAAAGUAUCCUUCGGGGUGCAAGUACAGUGGCGAACGGGUGAGUAACACGUAGUCAACCAACCCUUUAGUGGGGAAUAACUCCAAGAAAUUGGAGCUAAUACCGCAUACUCUUUUAAUCACAUAAGUGGUUAUAAGGAAAGAUUUAUCGCUAAAGGAUGGGACUGCGGUCCAUUAGUUUGAUGGUAAGGUAACGGCUUACCAUGGCUACGAUGGAUAGCCGGCCUGAGAGGGUGAUCGGCCACAUUGGAACUGCGACACGGUCCAGACUCCUACGGGAGGCAGCAGCUAAGAAUCUUCCCCAAUGGGCGCAAGCCUGAGGGAGCGACGCCGCGUGGAUGAUGAAGGCUGUUAAAGUUGUAAAAUCCUUUUCUACAGGAAGAAAGUAUGUGUAACAUCAUGCUGACGGUACUGUAGGAAUAAGCUCCGGCUAAUUACGUGCCAGCAGCCGCGGUAAUACGUAAGGAGCGAGCGUUGUUCGGAUUUAUUGGGCGUAAAGGGUGCGUAGGCGGGAUGUUAAGUUGGAUGUGCAAUUUCAGGGCUCAACUCUGAACUUGCAUCCAAAACUGGCAACCUUGAGGUUAGUAGAGGUAAGCGGAAUUUCUGGUGUAGGAGUGAAAUCUAUAGAUAUCAGAAAGAACACCUGCGGCGAAGGCGGCUUACUGGGCUAAAUCUGACGCUGAAGCACGAAAGCUAGGGGAGCGAACGGGAUUAGAUACCCCGGUAGUCCUAGCUGUAAACGUUGUAUACUAGGUGUAUGAGGCUUCGAUCCCUCAUGUGCCAAAGCAAACGCAUUAAGUAUACCGCCUGGGGAGUACGGUCGCAAGACUGAAACUCAAAGGAAUUGACGGGGCCCCGCACAAGCGGUGGAGCAUGUGGUUUAAUUCGAUGAUACGCGAGAAACCUUACCAGGGCUUGACAUGUAUUUGACGACGUAAGAGAUUACGUCUCCCUUUGGGCAGAUACACAGGUGCUGCAUGGUUGUCGUCAGCUCGUGUCGUGAGAUGUUGGGUUAAGUCCCGCAACGAGCGCAACCCCUAUUCACUGUUGCAAACAGGUUAAGCUGUGCACUCGGUGGAAACUGACUGUGAAAGCAGAAGGAAGGUGGGGAUGACGUCAAAUCCUCACGGCCCUUAUGUCCUGGGCUACACACGUGCUACAAUGGACGGUACAAAGAGUUGCUAAACUGCGAGGUCAAGCUAAUCUCAAAAAACCGUUCUCAGUUCGGAUUGAAGUCUGAAACUCGACUUCAU